This is a long non-coding RNA of Cynocephalus volans (Philippine flying lemur), 804 nucleotides long. RefSeq lists it as uncharacterized. Lineage: Eukaryota; Metazoa; Chordata; Mammalia; Dermoptera; Cynocephalidae. The transcript has 4 exons. The record is from RefSeq and is a predicted model, not a curated record.
AUUUCAGCCACAUGUGAUAGAUGACCAAGUGACUGCUUCCUUGGGGUCCACACACCAGUGGAAGACUCUCAAACUGGUUGUAGCCGACUUGAUCAAACUCUGGCUUCCUGAACUGUCCCCCCCUUGUUCUGAUCGUUUUGACACAGGAAUGAGAUGCAGAUAACUCCUUAGAAAACUUUUUAUAGGAAAAGUGCCUCGUGUGAUCUGGAACAAAGACAUUUUAUAAUCAGAUUUAUCAAGCUGUGAAGAGGGAGUUUUAGCGAAUGGAAGCAGCAGCAUUCUGUCACCAGGAAAUACUGCUUUAUCCAGAAUUGGUUUGACCACAGCAGCAAUUGCAAAGAAAAUGCUUUUGUGUCUUUCGGUGUGAGAUGUGAAGUUCCUAUCACUGGGUAAGAAUUCUGCAUUGAGAGAGGUGGAGAGAGGUGGGACAUCAGGAGGAAACUGACCACCUUGGAUGAGACGAAUUGAGAGCCGAGAGAGAAAGAUGUAGAAACGGACAGGGGAGGAUGCAGAGGAACCCCAGGGAAGCUGGUGAAUCUCUAGUCCCAAGUGUCCUUAGGCCCUUGCCUCACUUCUUCCUGGCGUCCCGGACACCCUGUCUGUUCCUGUUUAUUUCCUGUGAGACAUGUGGCAUACUCCUGACUUACUGAGCAUCCCUUUGCUGAGGAGCUGGGAGAACGAGGAACUCAGGAAUGGACUUUCAAGACACCAUCUUCCCCAAAUCCUCCUGCAUACCUCUCUCUCCACUGAAUCUACUUUCUACGUGUCAUAUAAAGAGAUAUAGACAUUGACAUUCCUUUUCUG